Molecule: long non-coding RNA, 562 nt
Organism: Lolium rigidum
Lineage: Eukaryota; Viridiplantae; Streptophyta; Magnoliopsida; Poales; Poaceae
Exons: 2
Source: RefSeq, a predicted model, not a curated record
UUUAUAUGCUCUCUUUCUAAUCAACUGGACCUAGGUUUGUUUUCACGGAUUUGAUCUUCAUGUGUUAGUUCAUCUACAUGAAGAGUUACUUUGUUCAGUCCAAAUAUCCUCUCGCAUUUUGUAUAGCGAUGGCAAGACUAUUAUUGUCUCAUUUGUGCCAAGAGUGUCUUUCUCCAGGAAUCACCGCUUUGAAUUGGGUCUGAACGUGUGCUUCAGUCGGCAUGCAUCUUCGGUUGAGUCUGAAGAGCCAAGCAGAACACUCCCAAGGCGAUGCAAAAAGGGAUGGCAACCGCGACGAUGUUGGUGCCCUGGAUGAUUUGAAAACAUCGCAACACCUGUCUUCGAAGGAGCGUCACCCUCCAUUCGGGACCUGUGUGCCAGGAUCAAAGAAGAGGCAAGGUCAUGGACCAUGGCAGGAGCAAACAGGCUCAGAGAUGUCUUGCCUACAACCUGGGAUGUCACUAAUUUCAGAUUCCGUAAUAACGCUGUGUAAACCUUUUAGGGGGCGUGUAACAACUUACAUCUAUUCAAUGAAAUGAAACGCAAAGAUUCCUUUGUGUUC